RNAcentral lists this ribosomal RNA (319 nucleotides) under uncultured bacterium. Its description in RNAcentral is "bacterial SSU rRNA". It matches the Rfam family "Bacterial small subunit ribosomal RNA", at positions 49 to 334 of the family's 1533-position model. The record is from RNAcentral.
GAUAACGCGUGGCGCGCACAGUAAGACAUGCAAGUCGAACGGGACUUAACGUCAAGUUCUUUAGAUUGAGAGCGGUUAGUGGCGGACUGGUGAGUAACACGUAAGCAACCUGCCUAUUAGAGGGGAAUAACAGUGAGAAAUCAUUGCUAAUACCGCAUAAGACCACAGAGCCGCAUGGCUCAGGGGUCAAAGGAGAAAUCCGCUGAAGGAUGGCCUCGCGUCCGAUUAGCUAGAUGGCGGGGUAACGGCCCACCAUGGCGACGAUCGGUAGCCGGACUGAGAGGUUGAUCGGCCACAUUGGGACUGAGACACGGCCCAG